This is a long non-coding RNA of Lepidothrix coronata (blue-crowned manakin), 1892 nucleotides long. RefSeq lists it as uncharacterized. The record is from RefSeq and is a predicted model, not a curated record. The transcript is spliced from 3 exons. NCBI's taxonomy places the organism in Eukaryota, Metazoa, Chordata, Aves, Passeriformes, Pipridae.
CCAAUCGCAGCGAAGGAGCGCGGGUGGCGGGCGGUGGCGGCCCCGACCCGGCCCCAGCCCCCGGCUCGGACGUUCCCCCGCGCGGUUCCCGUGGUUCCAAAGUGUUCCCACGAGUCAGGUUUCACUUCGUGGCAUUCUGAGUAUGAAUGUUUUUGGACUUUAAUCCUUUUCGAUUGAACCAUACAGACUAAUUCUUCAGCGUACUCCUUAGAAAGAAAUGCAAAACUCGCUACGUCCGUAGAAGGAAACUUUAAUGGAAGAGGACAUCAGUUUAUAACAAAAUCCAUCAUAUUUUUUUUCCACUUUACCUUUUACAAUUAUUUCCAAUUAUUGAGUCAGUUACUGGGUGGUGGCUUUAACCUUUCUCUGUUUUAAAGUUCUCCAAUCAUUGUACCCACUUCAUUUAUGGCUUUGGGAUGAUACGAGGCUCAGAGGGUUUAUUUGUCUGUAGAUUUCUCAGCAAUUCUGGUCCAAGGAUACAUCACUUCUGCCAACAAAAUAGGUAUGGGUUAAUGUUCUUCUUUGGAGUAUGGCUCCUGAGAAAACAGUGCUGAGUUACAGGGGGUUUCUGUUCUCUGUGGGAUUUACUUUUGGGAUUUUUACUUCUAAGAACUGAAAAAAAUAAAAUGUCUCAUAGAUCUUUCUAGAUCACAGUCCACAGGUGAAAGCUGUAAUUUCAAUGAUACUUAUAGAUAAAUAUGCUAUGGGUAGUAUCAUCUAUUUGUGUCCUUUAAGUAGGAUCCCUCUUAAAAUUCUGAACCUCGGGUUUUAUCAGCAUUAAAGAAAUACACAAGAAACAUAAAUGUAAUAUGAUCUAUGUCUAUUAGCUAAAGUGAAGUGGAAUCUGCAAAAUCAUGAGUGGAACUUUGCUUGGUUGUAGCAAGAUAAAUUUAAAUUAGGCCUGCUGCUGUUAGAAUGAGGUACUUUCAGUUGUGACAUUCUACCAUUAGUAUUAAUAUGCAUGUUAAAACUGUGUUUCAGUUCUUUCCAUUUGUUCAUUGUUGAUAUUUGUCAAGGGGAAAUGUAAUUAGAUUACGUCUAGACAGCCCUAGCCAUCUGUCAUCCUUGUGACAGUUGACCUGGAUUCUGAAGUGACGCCGUUUAACUUUUGUGUCAGUCUGGUGCAGCCACAUGGAACUUCAUUUUAGCAGAGGAGGUUUUAUUGAGUUACGUAAUCAGUCUGAGCUGCAAAUGGAGCUACUCUUGUGUCAAGAAGAACUGCAAGGGCAUUUGUCUGCUACUGUGGAGGGCUGCUGCCAGUUUAGACCCGUGGGCUGAUCACAUAGAGCUGGACUGGGCUCUCUGCUGUUUACUUUCUAGUAGGCAAGGACACUAUUUCCAUUCCCUUUCCAUUAACUUUUAUAUUUUCUCCUUACCCCAUGUUUUAUUUUAUCUCUUACACAAACCUGUGUUGCCAAGGUUCUGGAAAUGCAAAGGAUUUGGAGAGAGGAACCUUUCAAGACCUCAUCGUAUAUGUGACAUGGGCAGCUGAGGCUGUGUACAGGUUCCACUGUUCCACUGCUGUUUGAGAAGGAGAUCUGCCAGAGUCCAGGUGCUCUCAAGGAGUACAACAACGCUGCAGUCACUGCUGGGACUCACUUACUGCAGCCGAUGAGCACAGUCUUCAAGAACAUCCAAACACCGAGAUCAGCUAUUUCAAAAGUCUGCACAACUGUAUCAACUAAGCUCUGCCUUGCUCAGACGGCAGUAAUUUUUCAGUUACCACUUGUAUGGGAAUUUGUGUUAUUUCAGAGCAAUAAGAAAUAUUAAAAUGUCUGCUGUAGUAUUUGUUCUGCUUUGUGCUGUUUGUAUGCAAGAAUUUAUAGUUAGGAGGAGGUCUGUUGCUAGUAUGGUCAAAUAAUGUAUUGAGCUACAGAGAGGUUUGUGGACAU